UUGGAAACUGGAAUGAAUGGCUAGACGAGAGAAAUAGUGUCUCAAUGAAAAUUAAUGAAUUUUAUUUUUAAGUGAAAAAGCUUAAAUAAUUUUAAAAGACGAGAAGACCCUAUAGAGUUUAACAUUAAAUUUAUAAUAAAUAAUUAGUAUUUUUUGUUAUUAUAAAUAUUUUUGUUUAGCUGGGGUGGCUUUAAAAUUGAUUUAACUUUUAUUUAUAUAAACACUUAUUUGUGAUUAUUUGAUCCAUAUUUUUGAUUAUAAGAUUUAAUUACCUUAGGGAUAACAGCG
This 288-nucleotide ribosomal RNA is filed under the name Dermestes maculatus (common hide beetle). RNAcentral describes it as "partial 16S ribosomal RNA". The record is from RNAcentral. Lineage: Eukaryota; Metazoa; Arthropoda; Insecta; Coleoptera; Dermestidae.